AGGACCUGGGUGCUGGUUCCGUCCCUCCCCAGCCCCAGCCCAUGCUCGAUUUCAUCCCACAGAGGGAACCGACCCAGCUGGGCCCCAGCAGCCGGAUCCCCCCAUGACGGAGCCGGAGGGAGAAGGCCCUGGUGUACUCUGGUUCUCUUCCCACAGAGGGAACUGCCCUGAUCCAAACUGGAGCGGCGCCGGCUCCCACCCGCCCGAGCAGCGCAGGGCCAGCAGCAGCCCCCCUGGGACACCUGGAUUUCACCCAUGCCGACAUCGCCCACCUGGCGCUGAGCGCCAUGGUCCUGCUCAUCGUGGGGCUGAGGCCCACUACAGCCGCCCGAGGGUGGUGUCCUAGGAGCCUGGAUCCAGCCGUGCAGAGAAGAGAAUCUCCCCGGAGGAGGAGCUGGUCCCCCUUGGAGGGCUGAAUUCCAGCACAAAACCUCCUGCUCCCAAACACCCCUGCCUCGGUGAAUCCCCCCGCCCCCCAACAGCUCCGGACCUGACAGCAACACCCCAGGAUAGAACCCCGAACCCCGCGAUCACCAGCCCCUGCAGCACCAGUUAGAGGAACUGCCCCUGUGCUGGGCUCAUUGGGCUCCCCGCGGAGCAGCCCCUGGACAGCGCUGGGUCCCACUCACUGGCGCUGCCGGGCCACUCUCUGCCCAGGGCUGUCAGUGGAGAGCGGGGAGCCUGUGUCUUGCGUGGCACUAGAAUAAUGGCACUUAUUGCCCCCCCCCCGGUGUCCAUCCACCUCCUCUCUCUGCAGCGGGGUCCCCCAGCCCCUUUU
Molecule: long non-coding RNA, 778 nt
Organism: Chelonia mydas (Green sea turtle)
Lineage: Eukaryota; Metazoa; Chordata; Testudines; Cheloniidae
Exons: 4
Source: RefSeq, a predicted model, not a curated record